RNAcentral lists this long non-coding RNA (1047 nucleotides) under Equus asinus (donkey). RNAcentral's name for it is "lncRNA (ENSEASG00005027765.1)". Lineage: Eukaryota; Metazoa; Chordata; Mammalia; Perissodactyla; Equidae. The record is from RNAcentral.
CCACAAGGCCGCUGAAGGCCAGUUAGAACGUGGCACUCUAGAAGGACAAGAACCCUCCAGAAGUAGAUGGAUGUGGCUCCAUCCUAGGGCAGAGCUGGAGAAUGACUGCAGCCUCACUGAGGACAAUGUCUCCUGGGGCCUGUGGGCACACUGAGGCCCCAAGAGGAUAAGGAGUUUGCCCUGGGCUCCUUCCUCUGCACCUGCUGCCUCCCCAAGAAGAAGCCGUGAAUUCAUCUCCACCCAAGGAGACCAUGCACAUCCUUGGGCCCAAGUGUGCUGCCCUCUGCCUAUUGCAGGAUGAGACAAGAAAGGACAAUCUCGGAAGAUGCACUUCCUGCCACGGCGCAGGGUCAAGCUUGCCUAGAGAGUUGGUGAUGAGACAAAUCACCAAUGAAGAUCCACAGAUAAACAGCCGUCACAAUCAGGAGGAGCAAUGACGGCAACAGCACGCCGCAUAGACUACAGUGAAGACGCCAAGUCUCUGAAAAGAUGCAGACAGAUGCGGGAGAAGAAACUGCGAGCAGCCCCUUUCUCGACGCCUCAGCCUUCCUCUCUGGGAACCAUAGUGCGCAUGCGGAGUACUCUGAUCCUCCCUGAGAAACAGCACUGAUGCAGGAGCUGGAGACCUGGGUCCUCAGCCUCGCCCUGCCACCAACAGCCGUGUAUCCUUCUCUAAGGAUGGAUCUGUGAAGUAGAGAUAACCACCAAAUCACGAAGAUCACGUGAUAUAAAGGGUGUGAGGGGGUCUCGCCUGUACGUGGUGAUUUCCCCGAUCUGGAAUUUCAUGCUGUGGAUGGAUCCUGGCAUUAAAUCCUGUCUGGGUUCCAACAGGCCCUGACUGGCCUCCCUGCCAGCCGUUGCCCCUCGCCGUAACCUGCGUCAGCCCCCAGAGUCAGCCUCCUGAAAAAGCCUUUGCAGCUCAUCACCCCCCACAGUGACCCCACAGCAGCUCCCCAUGGCCCCCAGGGCAGCCCAUGACUUAGAGGGGCAUUCCAGACCCUGGGAACCUGAUCCCCACCUGAACCUCCCCACUCUUUCCCAACCCAG